CGCGUAGGCGGGCCAUCAAGUCGAGGGUGAAAGCCCCCAGCUCAACUGGGGAAGUGCCUCCGAUACUGGUGGUCUCGAGGGGGAUAGGGGCAUGCGGAACUUCCGGUGGAGCGGUGAAAUGCGUAGAUAUCGGAAGGAACACCGGUGGCGAAAGCGGCGUGCUGGAUCCCUUCUGACGCUGAGGCGCGAAAGCCAGGGGAGCGAACG
RNAcentral lists this ribosomal RNA (207 nucleotides) under uncultured bacterium. Its description in RNAcentral is "partial 16S ribosomal RNA". It matches the Rfam family "Bacterial small subunit ribosomal RNA", at positions 568 to 774 of the family's 1533-position model. The record is from RNAcentral.